Molecule: long non-coding RNA, 481 nt
Organism: Melanotaenia boesemani (Boeseman's rainbowfish)
Lineage: Eukaryota; Metazoa; Chordata; Actinopteri; Atheriniformes; Melanotaeniidae
Exons: 3
Source: RefSeq, a predicted model, not a curated record
UCCAUUGUGUCCCCAGUCCUCAUAUACUCCAGCACCACAGUCACUUCCUGUCGGACCUAAACCUAUGCACUACAUGGACUUUGCCUCUUCCCCAACCCAGCUCCUCGAUUCCUGUUCCUCAGUCUGUUCCACCGGUUAUCCUUCAACAUGGCCCUGAUGCUCACUGGUCCUUGGUCCCCAUCUUUGCGCUUAGCAUAGAGCUUCAGGACACUGGAUUUGGGGUGGAACCUUCCUUGCAUGGGGAUAUGAAAAUGGAGUAUGAAUAUGUAUGCUGGAGAAACAAGGAUAUUGCCUAUGGAGAACCGCUAUGCAUAAUGCAGCUUUUUCUGUUUCAUCUAGAUUCAUUCAGACACACACACACACACACCAAGAUUCAUACCAUCAUGUGCAUAGAAAAACAGGGCUAUAAAUCCCCUUUCACUCUCUCUUACUAACUCUCCUACAAACAGUCACACACACAGUCACAUAAAUGCAUUUCAGA